GACGAACGCUGGCGGCGUGCUUAACACAUGCAAGUCGAGCGGUAAGGCCCUUUCGGGGGUACGACGAGCGGCGAACGGGUGAGUAACACGUGGGUGACCUGCCUCUAGCUCUGGGAUAAGCCUGGGAAGCUGGGUCUAAUACCGGAUAUGACCUCGCGGUGCAUGUUGCGGGGUGGAAAGCCUUGUGCGGCUAGGGAUGGGCCCGCGGCCUAUCAGCUUGUUGGUGGGGUGANGGCCCUACCAAGGCGACGACGGGUAGCCGGCCUGAGAGGGCGACCGGCCACACUGGGACUGAGACACGGCCCAGACUCCUACGGGAGGCAGCAGUGGGGAAUCUUGCGCAAUGGGCGAAAGCCUGACGCAGCGACGCCGCGUGAGGGAUGACGGCCU
Molecule: ribosomal RNA, 390 nt
Filed under: uncultured bacterium
Lineage: Bacteria
Description: bacterial SSU rRNA
Rfam family: Bacterial small subunit ribosomal RNA
Source: RNAcentral